This is a long non-coding RNA of Sinocyclocheilus grahami, 89 nucleotides long. RefSeq lists it as uncharacterized. The transcript has 3 exons. Lineage: Eukaryota; Metazoa; Chordata; Actinopteri; Cypriniformes; Cyprinidae. The record is from RefSeq and is a predicted model, not a curated record.
GAUGCAUUAAUUGGGUUGGCAAUUGAUUUCCACUUUUCCGAUGUGAUAUGUGAUGAAAAAAGGAAGAAGAGCAAGUUCGGCAAAAGGCA